AGAUGAGUUCUCCCUGAGACUUUAAGUCUCCUGAAGGAACGUUGAAGACGACGACGUUGAUAGGCCGGGUGUGUAAGCGCAGCGAUGCGUUGAGCUAACAU
This 101-nucleotide ribosomal RNA is filed under the name Klebsiella pneumoniae. RNAcentral's name for it is "partial 23S ribosomal RNA". Lineage: Bacteria; Pseudomonadati; Pseudomonadota; Gammaproteobacteria; Enterobacterales; Enterobacteriaceae. The record is from RNAcentral.